Molecule: RNA transcript, 1480 nt
Organism: Tachysurus vachellii
Lineage: Eukaryota; Metazoa; Chordata; Actinopteri; Siluriformes; Bagridae
Gene name: involucrin-like
Exons: 6
Source: RefSeq, a predicted model, not a curated record
CCUAUCCAUCUCUUCAAUAUCUAUCUGUUCUCUAUCUCAAUUUCUCUAUUUCUCAGUCUUUCCUCUCUUUCUGUCUUUUGUCUACUUGUCUGUUAUCUGUCUCUGUCUGUCAGUCUGUCUGUCCAGUUGCUUGCUAUAAUGCCAGGGGGGUCUACAAAAAAGAUUUGUCCAUUUUGUCAGGGCAUUUUAUUUUGUGCACAGAAAAUAUGUUGCCAUUGUCAAAAGGAGCAGCCUCUGAAGCAGCACCUCAAGAAGAAGCUUCAGAGGUUUGAUGACAAGCGAGAGGAAUGGGUGUUUGGUCGUAAGAAGAACCACACCAGUGGAUCCAUCAAGGAUGAAGCCAUAAUCAUGCUUGAGAAACUCCAUGCCAUUGGAUACAAGCCAGUUCUGCUCCUUGGAAAGGAAAACAAAAAAAAAGAAAAUAAGUGUGAAAUAUUAACUCCUCGCUGCACACUCUCCACCUGUGCCCAGGACUACCUUCAGAGGAUAGGCCCAAUAUAUGAAAAAAUUUGUGAUGGUUGGACCAAGGAUAUCGAUGAUGAUCAGCUGAUUACGCUGCACCUCACACCCUGUGACCCAUUGGAGAACACAAGCAACCGUGAGGUGGUGAGGACCACGCGGGUGGAGCAGACGAGCACUACAGAGGGGGAGAUGGAGCAGACGAGCACUACAGAGGGGGAGAUGGAGCAGACGAGCACUACAGAGGGGGAGAUGGAGCAGACGAGCACUACAGAGGGGGAAAUGGAGCAGAUGAGCACUACAGAGGGGAGGAUGGAGCAGACAAGCACUACAGAGGGGAGGAUGGAGCAGAUGAGCACUACAGAGGGGAGGAUGGAGCAGAUGAGCACUACAGAGGGGAGGAUGGAGCAGACAAGCACUACAGAGGGGAGGAUGGAGCAGACGAGCACUUCGGAGGGUCAAGCUGUCUUCACAGGGUCAGCCAGGGGCACAGUCACAAGUCCCAAAAAGAAAAAGUCAGGUGGACUAAGACAUAUGCCAGAGAGGAAAAAGCCACAAAAGAGUAAGUGCAUGUAAAUGCAAUGAUUGAUGCUUCCAUCAGUGUGUUGACAUUGCUAUUUUACCCUUGGUUACUUGCUCUAUUUCUAUUGGGUUUUUUAACUACUUACAACAGAUAAUUGGUCCUAACAGACAAACUAUAAAAUCCAACUGGCUUCAGGUGUCUAAUUUGACCAAAAUGCAUUGCCAAGUAGUAGAAGAAGCAGCAGUAGAGUAUUCUCAAUUGUGAUCUGUGGCUCAGCAGAGGUAUUGUUAUCCCAGAAAGAAUACCACAUUUGAACUGAGAAUAAUUUGGUUAUAGGGUACAAGUUGGUUCAACUUUUGAUUAAAGAUAAACAUCACUUGUCAUCCUUGUAAGUCUGGUCACUACUUAAGUCUUCUUAGUUGUUUAUUUUGUUCCUAAUCUAAGAAAUGUGUGAAACAUGUUUUUGAUGUUCACAGAUUGCUCCUAUCACGCUCGCUU